GAUUAGGGUGAAGGAUCACAAAAAUAAUUCAUAUAUGGAGUUGAGCCCAAAUUAGGUGUCCUAAAGCAGAGACUAUUAGGAACAGUAGUUGUUGUGUCUUGUAGAAACUUCUAUCAGAGGUGGGGCCAGUUUUGUACAAUGAUAGAUUAAAAAUAUCUGGAACGUGUUAGAAUUUGAACUCUUGGGGGAGGGAAAGUCUUUGUCCUCAGGGUCAAACACAGUGCCAGGCACAUUCUGACUUGGCUCAGAGAUAUGUGUCUAGUAACUGAGCCAAAUCGUGUGUCGUUUUAUAGAUGAAGGAAACAAGGUCAGAUGUAGCGGAGGGUUUUUCCAGGUUGCACAGAUGGUCAGCGGCAGAGCGAGGAUGGAACCUUGUGGUCCUGGCCGUUCCUCUGGUGCAACUGGCCCAUUUAGCGUUGUAGAGUACAGGCUGUUCUGGAAAAGAGCUGGGGUGGGGGGCAGAGUCCUAAAAUCCUGACCAGCUGCAGCUCAGGGGGCAAAAACUCAUGUUUUUAGUGGAACCUCGUGGUCGAUUGUCUGAACCAUUGUCUCCCUAGCAUUCUUCACCACCUCCCCAAAGCCUACCUACUUUGCACUGUGCCUACCCAGCAAAGUCACAACCCUGAUCAGUGUUGAAUCUGUCUUGCCCCCAGGCUCCUGAGCUUUGUGGGAGAAAAGCCACCUGACGGAUAGGAUGUCAUCGUCGCAAAUAUAUGGAUUCCAGGGCUUCCGGAAGCUCCCAGGACGUAGCGGACACUUGGUAUAUCUUUAUGGAGAGGGGGUGUGAGUGAGGGCACGAAUGAACCAAUCUUGGUCCAAAUAAGGAGCCAUAGUUGUCUUCGGGCAGUUCCUCGCCCAUCCCCUAAGUCCUUGAGCUCAACAACAGAAAACAGCUGUACGUCACUCCCUGGCCUUCAAAUCCCAGCUCACCACCAUCACCAUCAGCACGUUCUCGGGCAAUUUAAUCUCUCAGUGGCUUUUGUGACCUCAUCUGGAUAACGGGUUUGGUGGGAGGAGUUAACGGAUUAAUUCAUGUAAAGUGCUUUGCGCAUUAAUUGGCACAUCUAUAAAUAUUAGCCUAUUAUUAGUACCAGGACUACAGCCGCCCCUCCCUCUGACCCUCAGGCACGGGAAGAAGACCUCGUCCCAGGUACUUGGAGACACUUGGGGCAGCCAGGUGGGGACGCUUUCAUAUUCUCACUCCGCUGCCAGAUUAUAAACUGGGGAGACACAUCCUCCAAUGGGCAUUUCAGCAAGAUCGGGACUUCAGGCGUUGCUUUGGGAUAGGCGAGGGCGUAGUAUGGCAGAAAUUUCCAGGAGAAAUCAAAUCUGGGGUCAUCGAGGAUAACGCCCUCACCGUGCACCUGGGAGAACUGAAACCCUAUAGUGUAAACUCUGACAGUCAAUUUUUUUCCUCUUUGUCUUGCAAAUGCCUGAUUUAAGCGUUGAUUGCCUAGGCGUCCACUUCAAAGGGGCACCCACUUCAAACACAGCUAUCUCAAAUAAACAUGUUGGCAGCCAGGUGACCAGAUAAACACCAGGCGCCCCACCCUCCAGCCCCCAGGCUGGCUCCUUUGUUUCAGAGAUCUUGGUUGAUUUCAGCCGUGGGUAACUGACACUUGGGGCCACCUGUUUUUCCUCCUUUGGCGCUUUAAAUUCCCACUCUUGUGUUUUAAAUUCACCCAAGACACCCUGGGCCCCCACCCACCACUCCGAUGAAAGCAGAACCCCAGGCCUGCUCUCUCUCUACCUGUGACCGUGCUGGACGAGUCAGGUGUGCUACGUCAUUUCCAGGACGUUUCCUAAGCCCUAUGACACUCGGACAUGCCUCUUGUCAACUUUACAAGCCACAGGCUUAGUCGGUCACCUCUGAGAAGAGUUCCUGUAUCAAGGGUCUGUCUUUUGAGGGAAAAGACAAUGGACAGCGAUCGAGGAGAAAUUCAUUUUCUGAUUAAUUUUGUUACUUUGCAGCGUCUGAGGAGUAUGAAGGACGCUGGCAGUUCAAUCCUAGAAGAACACUGGGUAUGUUGCAAUCACAUCAACCUUGGCCGUUCCAGUGACAACGAGAAGCUCCAUCACGGGUCACAGAUGAAGCCCUGCUCUGAAGAGACAGUCAAGACCACCAGACAUUGGAGGGAAAUCUCAGGAGAGUCAAGGCCAAGAUGAACAAAUAGAUCACUUGACUCUGGAAGACGGAAAUAAUUCGAGGGACAGAAGAGAAACUGAACUGAAUUGUGUCAGUGAUCGUGGCUUCUGAAAGAGCAGGCUGCCAUAAAAGAAGAAAUAGAGAAAGCAGGGUUCUUUGAUUCAUUCUCUUCCAAAUUUUAUUUAAAUUCUAACUAACUAACAUACAGUGUCAGGGUUUCGGGAGUGGAAUUUACUGAUUCAUCACUUACCUACAACACCCAGUGCUCAUUACCAGUGUCCUCAUUAAUCCUUAUCACCCAUCUAGCCCAUCCCCCCACCCGCUUCCCCCCAUCAACCCUCAGUUUGUUCUUUAAGAGUCUCUUAUGGUUUGCUUCCCUCUCUCUCUUUUUU
Molecule: long non-coding RNA, 2538 nt
Organism: Felis catus (domestic cat)
Lineage: Eukaryota; Metazoa; Chordata; Mammalia; Carnivora; Felidae
Exons: 3
Source: RefSeq, a predicted model, not a curated record